GGGGCCGAUCUGGAAUCGAUCGGACAGGGAAGGCUUGACGCAGCGCGCCGUGGAGCAUGCUUGCCACGUAAAAAGUAUGCACAACAACAACUGCCAACACGCAGUACGCUCUCGCUGCCUAAUUACGGUAGCGCGGUGAUGUGGUUCGACGCCCGAUAGGGCUGCACACCGUCAAACAUCGGGCUGGUUUCGCAGGCUGGCAUACCCGACGCGAAACGAGACUCACGUACGCCAUGGACCGGACACACGUUGCCGUAGACGGAGUGCCGGCCCGAGACAGGAACCGACGGACACGCGCGUAGAAGUGGCUCGCUGACUGUUUCGACACGGGGGUUCAAAUCCCCCCGGCUCCAUUC
This 356-nucleotide transfer-messenger RNA is filed under the name Phycisphaerales. Its description in RNAcentral is "JAEUIT01 sp016795035 Standard tmRNA". It matches the Rfam family "transfer-messenger RNA". Rfam says of the family: Bacterial tmRNA, also known as 10Sa RNA or SsrA, is named for its dual tRNA and mRNA-like properties. Its role is to liberate the mRNA from a stalled ribosome. The record is from RNAcentral. RNAcentral also lists the same sequence under 1 other name. Lineage: Bacteria; Pseudomonadati; Planctomycetota; Phycisphaerae.